AGUCGAACGAUGAAGCCCUUCGGGGUGGAUUAUUGGCGAAGGGGUGAGUACCAUGUGGGCACUGCCCUGCACUUCGGGACAAGCCCUGGAAACGGGGUCUAAUACCGGAUACCCGCCGCCGCCCGCAUGGGCGGCGACGGAAAGCUCCGGCGGUGCAGGAUGAGCCCGCGGCCUAUCACUGGUUGGUGAGGUAACGGCUCACCAAGGCGACGACGGGUAGCCGGCCUGAAGGGCGACCGGCCACACUGGGACUGAACACGGCCCAGACUCCUACGGGAGGCAGCAGUGGGGAAUAUUGCACAAUGGGCGCAAGCCUGAUGCAGCGACGCCGCGUGAGGGACGACGGCCUUCGGGUUGUAAACCUCUUUCAGCAGGGAAGAAGCGCAGUGACGGUACCUGCAGAAGAAGCGCCGGCUAACUACGUGCCAGCAGCCGCGGUAAUACGUAGGGGCGCGAGCGUUGUCCGGAAUUAUUGGGCGUAAAAGCUCGUAUGCGGCCUGUCGCGUCGUUGUGAAAGCCCGGGGCUCAACCCCGGGUCUGCAUCGAUGCGGGCAGGCUGAGUGGGGUAGGGGGAGAUCGGAGUUCCUGGUGUAGCGGUGAAUUGC
This 605-nucleotide ribosomal RNA is filed under the name Streptomyces kebangsaanensis. RNAcentral describes it as "bacterial SSU rRNA". It matches the Rfam family "Bacterial small subunit ribosomal RNA", at positions 60 to 689 of the family's 1533-position model. Lineage: Bacteria; Bacillati; Actinomycetota; Actinomycetes; Kitasatosporales; Streptomycetaceae. The record is from RNAcentral.